AACAGGAUUAGAUACCCUGGUAGUCCACGCCGUAAACGAUGCUAACUCGUUUUUGGGAUGUAAGUUUCAGAGACUAAGCGAAAGUGAUAAGUUAGCCACCUGGGGAGUACGUUCGCAAGAAUGAAACUCAAAGGAAUUGACGGGGGCCCGCACAAGCGGUGGAUUAUGUGGUUUAAUUCGAUGAUACGCGAGGAACCUUACCAGGGCUUAAAUGGGAAAUGACAGGUUUAGAAAUAGACUUUUCUUCGGACAUUUUUCAAGGUGCUGCAUGGUUGUCGUCAGCUCGUGCCGUGAGGUGUUAGGUUAAGUCCUGCAACGAGCGCAACCCCUGUCACUAGUUGCCAUCAUUAAGUUGGGGACUCUAGUGAGACUGCCUACGCAAGUAGAGAGGAAGGUGGGGAUGACGUCAAAUCAUCACGGCCCUUACGCCUUGGGCCACACACGUAAUACAAUGGCCGGUACAGAGGGCAGCUACACAGCGAUGUGAUGCAAAUCUCGAAAGCCGGUCUCAGUUCGGAUUGGAGUCUGCAACUCGACUCUAUGAAGCUGGAAUCGCUAGUAAUCGCGCAUCAGCCAUGGCGCGGUGAAUACGUUCCCGGGCCUUGUACACACCGCCCGUCAAGCCAUGGAAGUCUGGGGUACCUGAAGUCGGUGACCGUAACAGGAGCUGCCUAGGGUAAAACAGGUAACUAGGGCUAAGUCGUAACAAGGUAACC
This 716-nucleotide ribosomal RNA is filed under the name uncultured bacterium. RNAcentral's name for it is "bacterial SSU rRNA". It matches the Rfam family "Bacterial small subunit ribosomal RNA", at positions 771 to 1501 of the family's 1533-position model. The record is from RNAcentral.